This 116-nucleotide ribosomal RNA is filed under the name Penicillium chrysogenum. RNAcentral also lists the same sequence under 1 other name. The record is from RNAcentral. Lineage: Eukaryota; Fungi; Ascomycota; Eurotiomycetes; Eurotiales; Aspergillaceae.
ACGACCAUAGGGUGUGGAAAACAGGGCUUCCCGUCCGCUCAGCCGUACUUAAGCCACACGCCGGUGAGUUAGUAGUUGGGUGGGUGACCACCAGCGAAUCCUCACUGUUGUAUGUA